CACAGUUUUGGUCCUAAACUUACUGCUACUUUUAAUCAAAUUUACACAUGCAAGCAUCCACACACCAGUGAAAUACGCCCUAACACAGUAUAAACGGAGCAGGUAUCAGGCACAACCACCAGCCAAAAACACCAAGCUUUGCCACACCCACACGGGCCAUCAGCAGUGAUAAACAUUAAGCAAUAAGCGAACACACCAAACUAAAGCUUGACUUAGUUAUGAUUAAUAGGGCCGGUAAACCUCGUGCCAGCCACCGCGGUUAUACGAGGGGCCCAAAACAGCAGACUCUCGGCGUAAAUAGUGGCUAGAAUAAUUACCACUACAUUAAAAACUAAACCAUAUCCUAACCGUAAAACAUAGGCUAAAUGAAAUCAAACACUUUUAAUAACAGGUAGUUUGACCCACGAAAACUAAGAAACAAACUAGGAUUAGAUACCCUACUAUGCUUAGUCGUUAAUAUGAUAUUAUAAUACUAAAAUAUCCGCCAGAAAACUACGAGCGAAAAGCUUAAAACUCAAAGGACUUGGCGGUGCUCCACACCGACUUAGAGGAGCCUGUCCUAUAAUCGAUACCCCACGCUAAACCUCACCAAUCUUUGCCAAAUCAGCCUAUAUACCGCCGUCGUCAACCCACCUCAUGAGAGAAAAACAGUGAGUACAAAAGUUUAAUAACUAAAACGUC
Molecule: ribosomal RNA, 681 nt
Filed under: Sceloporus sp.
Lineage: Eukaryota; Metazoa; Chordata; Lepidosauria; Squamata; Phrynosomatidae
Description: partial 12S ribosomal RNA
Rfam family: Bacterial small subunit ribosomal RNA
Source: RNAcentral